RNAcentral lists this ribosomal RNA (348 nucleotides) under Munidopsis robusta. Its description in RNAcentral is "partial large subunit ribosomal RNA". It matches the Rfam family "Eukaryotic large subunit ribosomal RNA", at positions 817 to 1138 of the family's 3401-position model. Lineage: Eukaryota; Metazoa; Arthropoda; Malacostraca; Decapoda; Munidopsidae. The record is from RNAcentral.
CGAAAGAUGGUGAACUAUGCCUGGCCAGGAUGAAGCCAGAGGAAACUCUGGUGGCGGUCCGCAGCGAUUCUGACGUGCAAAUCGAUCGUCUGAGUUGGGCAUAGGGGCGAAAGACUAAUCGAACUAUCUAGUAGCUGGUUCCCUCCGAAGUUUCCCUCAGGAUAGCUGGUACUCAAAGGGAUGAAUUUCAUCUGGUAAAGCGAAUGAUUAGAGGAAUUGGGGAUGAAAUGUCCUCAACCUAUUCUCAAACUUUAAAUGGGUGAGAAGCCAAGCUUGCUUAAAAAAAUGCUUAAAUGCAAUUAUUAUGAAGCUUAGGCGAUGAAUCAGAGUACCAAGUGGGCCACUUUU